AACGCGAAGAACCUUACCCAGGCUUGACAUGCAGAGGAAGUUAGUAGAGAUAUUAACGCCCUUCGGGGCUUCUGCACAGGUGCUGCAUGGCUGUCGUCAGCUCGUGCCGUGAGGUGUUGGGUUAAGUCCCGCAACGAGCGCAACCCUUAUCGUUAGUUGCCAACAGGUAAUGCUGGGAACUCUAGCGAGACUGCCUGGGUUAACCAGGAGGAAGGUGAGGAUGACGUCAAGUCCGCAUGGCCCUUAUGUCUGGGGCUACACACGUGCUACAAUGGUCGGUACAGAGGGCAGCGAAACCGCGAGGCGAAGCAAAUCCCAUAAAGCCGGCCCCAGUUCAGAUUGUAGUCUGCAACUCGACUACAUGAAGAUGGAAUUGCUAGUAAUGGCGAGUCAGCAACAUCGCCGUGAAUACGUUCCCGGGCCUUGUACACACCGUACGUC
Molecule: ribosomal RNA, 441 nt
Filed under: uncultured bacterium
Lineage: Bacteria
Description: bacterial SSU rRNA
Rfam family: Bacterial small subunit ribosomal RNA
Source: RNAcentral